Molecule: ribosomal RNA, 246 nt
Filed under: uncultured bacterium
Lineage: Bacteria
Description: partial 16S ribosomal RNA
Rfam family: Bacterial small subunit ribosomal RNA
Source: RNAcentral
GAUCCUGGCUCAGGACGAACGCUGGCGGCGUGCUUAACACAUGCAAGUCGAACGUGAUUUUUGUGGAAAUUCUUUCGGGAAUGGAAAUGAAAUGAAAGUGGCGAACGGGUGAGUAACACGUGAGCAACCUACCUUACACAGGGGGAUAGCCGUUGGAAACGACGAUUAAUACCGCAUGAGACCACAGAAUCGCAUGAUAUAGGGGUCAAAGAUUUAUCGGUGUAAGAAGGGCUCGCGUCUGAUUAG